This 502-nucleotide ribosomal RNA is filed under the name uncultured Phyllobacterium sp. RNAcentral describes it as "bacterial SSU rRNA". It matches the Rfam family "Bacterial small subunit ribosomal RNA", at positions 96 to 633 of the family's 1533-position model. Lineage: Bacteria; Pseudomonadati; Pseudomonadota; Alphaproteobacteria; Hyphomicrobiales; Phyllobacteriaceae. The record is from RNAcentral.
UGGCAGACGGGUGAGUAACGCGUGGGAAUCUACUCAAUUCUUCGGAACAACACAUGGAAACGUGUGCUAAUACCGAAUGAGCCCUUCGGGGGAAAGAUUUAUCGGAAUUGGAUGAGCCCGCGUUGGAUUAGCUAGUUGGUGGGGUAAAGGCCUACCAAGGCGACGAUCCAUAGCUGGUCUGAGAGGAUGAUCAGCCACACUGGGACUGAGACACGGCCCAGACUCCUACGGGAGGCAGCAGUGGGGAAUAUUGGACAAUGGGCGCAAGCCUGAUCCAGCCAUGCCGCGUGAGUGAUGAAGGUCUUAGGAUUGUAAAGCUCUUUCACCGGUGAAGAUAAUGACGGUAACCGGAGAAGAAGCCCCGGCUAACUUCGUGCCAGCAGCCGCGGUAAUACGAAGGGGGCUAGCGUUGUUCGGAUUUACUGGGCGUAAAGCGCACGUAGGCGGACUUUUAAGUCAGGGGUGAAAUCCCGGGGCUCAACCCCGGAACUGCCUUUGAUAC